This 323-nucleotide unclassified non-coding RNA is filed under the name soil metagenome. Its description in RNAcentral is "partial contains 5.8S ribosomal RNA, internal transcribed spacer 2, and large subunit ribosomal RNA". The stretch from base 1 to 120 matches the Rfam family "5.8S ribosomal RNA", at positions 35 to 154 of the family's 154-position model. The record is from RNAcentral.
GAUGAAGAACGUAGCGAAAUGCGAUAAGUAAUGCGAAUUGCAGAAUUCAGUGAGUCAUCGAAUCUUUGAACGCACAUUGCGCCCUGUGGUAUUCCGCAGGGCAUGCCUGUUCGAGCGUCAUUUCAACCCUCAAGCUCUGCUUGGUGUUGGGACCUGCCCGCUGCGGCCGGCCCUAAAGACAGUGGCGGUGCCGCCUGGCCCUGAGCGUAGUACAUCUCUCGCUCCAGUGCCCGGUGGUAGCCUGCCAGAACCCCAACUCUCGUGGUUGACCUCGGAUCAGGUAGGGAUACCCGCUGAACUUAAGCAUAUCAAUAAGCGGAGGA